Molecule: ribosomal RNA, 327 nt
Filed under: uncultured eukaryote
Lineage: Eukaryota
Description: partial 18S ribosomal RNA
Rfam family: Eukaryotic small subunit ribosomal RNA
Source: RNAcentral
CCCUUAGAUGUUCUGGGCCGCACGCGCGCUACACUGACGAAUGCAACGAGCUUAUAACCUUGGCCGAAAGGUCUGGGUAAUCUCCAAAUUUCGUCGUGAUGGGGAUAGAUUAUUGCAAUUAUUAAUCUUCAACGAGGAAUGCCUAGUAAGCGCAAGUCAUCAGCUUGCGUUGAUUACGUCCCUGCCCUUUGUACACACCGCCCGUCGCUCCUACCGAUUGAAUGGUCCGGUGAAGCGCUCGGACCGCGGCCUCUUGACGGUUCGCUGUCGAUUGGCUGUGGGAAGUUCGUUAAACCUUAUCAUUUAGAGGAAGGAGAANUCGUAGCA